CAGUCGCCGCGGUGAUACGUAGGGUGCGAGCGCUGUCCGGAUUUAUUGGGCGUAAAGGGCUCGUAGGUGGUUGAUCGCGUCGGAAGUGUAAUCUUGGGGCUUAGCCCUGAGCGUGCUUCGAUACGGGUUGACUUGAGGAAGGUAGGGGAGAAUGGAAUUCCUGGUGGAGCGGUGGAAUGCGCAGAUAUCAGGAGGAGCACCAGUGGCGAAGGCGGUUCUCUGGGCCUUUCUUGACGCUGAGGAGCGAAAGCGUGGGGAGCGAACAGGCUUAGAUACCCCCGUAGUCCCUGUCUCUUAUACA
This 301-nucleotide ribosomal RNA is filed under the name uncultured bacterium. RNAcentral's name for it is "partial 16S ribosomal RNA". It matches the Rfam family "Bacterial small subunit ribosomal RNA", at positions 509 to 808 of the family's 1533-position model. The record is from RNAcentral.